Molecule: non-coding RNA, 1096 nt
Organism: Hydra vulgaris (swiftwater hydra)
Lineage: Eukaryota; Metazoa; Cnidaria; Hydrozoa; Anthoathecata; Hydridae
Source: RefSeq, a predicted model, not a curated record
ACACAGUCGGACAAUAGUAUAACUUAUAACAGAUUUCUUUUUACUUUAAAUAAAAAUGUUAAAGAAUAUAUUUUCGGAAAAAAUUUUUGUUGAUAAAUUAAGAAAUUAUUUUUUAUAUUUGAAAAGUUUGUUAGCUCGUACUUAGAUUGGCCUUUAACUUUUAGGUGAGUACGCUGAGACGCUAGUAUUUAAUUUAUACACUUGGUUUAGGAGUGCAGUUUGAAAAAUAGGGAAUUUCAAAAAAUUAACAAAUUGAUUAUUUAUUGAAGGUAAAACAUUAUUUCUUUGUAUUGUCAAUACUAAAUGGCUUACUUUAUCUACUGCAUUUAUAAAGUUUUUUCUUUUUUCAAGGAGGUUAAACAAGAUUGAGUUUUGGUUGAUAAAACUAAAGAUAAUAGCUCGUUUGAGCAGCAACCAUAAUAGUAUUUGUAGAAAAGAGAAAGAAAAACAACCUUACAACGAUAAGAGAAGCUUGGCAAGAUAGAGCAGGUCUAGCUAAAUUUACAGUGCGUUUUGGACCUUGUCUAGAAGAAAAAAUGUAUCAUUAAAAGACCCAGCCCAAAAUUUUUGACAGCAGUAUUUCAUGCAAAAACAAAUAAGAGCUAAGUAAUGAUAAAGAAUGGAAUUAGGAAUAAGCUGUUAUAAAAAAAGAAUUGUUACAAAAAAGAGAUCAGAUUUAAGAUUGACUGCCUGUUCUAAGUGAUCAAAAAGUGAAGACUUUUUGUCAAGACAGGAGUAUAAAGUUGAGUUGUCAACAAUUAGAGCCACUUUAGAUGUAAGACUGUCAGGAAGAUGAUUAAUAAAAUUUUAAAGAUUAUUAAUCUAGAAAUAACAAACGGAGGAUAGAAUCUUGAGGUACUGUUGAAGAAUUUCCAAAAGUCUUAAGAGUCUAACAUUUAAGAUUAGAUACGAGAUUUAGUAAACUGGGAAUAACGGAGCUUAGGAGAGACAGAAGCUCUGGGGCUGUUCAUAAAGUACGUACGCUUAUAAGAGGAAGGUGGAAAGGGUAUUCAAAUAACGUACGAAAGUGUAUGUGGGUGAAAGGGUUCAAUAUAAAAGUAUGUACGCACUUAUUAUAAAAAGAUUUCUUUGGUAA